GAUGAACGCUAGCUACAGGCUUAACACAUGCAAGUCGAGGGGAAACGACAUCGAAAGCUUGCUUUUGAUGGGCGUCGACCGGCGCACGGGUGAGUAACGCGUAUCCAACCUGCCCACCACUUGGGGAUAACCUUGCGAAAGUAAGACUAAUACCCAAUGAUAUCUCUAGAAGACACCUGAAAGAGAUUAAAGAUUUAUCGGUGAUGGAUGGGGAUGCGUCUGAUUAGCUUGUUGGCGGGGUAACGGCCCACCAAGGCUACGAUCAGUAGGGGUUCUGAGAGGAAGGUCCCCCACAUUGGAACUGGGACACGGUCCAAACUCCUACGGGAGGCAGCAGUGAGGAAUAUUGGUCAAUGGGCGAGAGCCUGAACCAGCCAAGUAGCGUGCAGGAUGACGGCCCUAUGGGUUGUAAACUGCUUUUAUAAGGGAAUAAAGUGAGCCUCGUGAGGCUUUUUGCAUGUACCUUAUGAAUAAGGACCGGCUAAUUCCGUGCCAGCCGCCGCCGUAA
RNAcentral lists this ribosomal RNA (508 nucleotides) under uncultured bacterium. RNAcentral describes it as "partial 16S ribosomal RNA". It matches the Rfam family "Bacterial small subunit ribosomal RNA", at positions 28 to 523 of the family's 1533-position model. The record is from RNAcentral.